UGUGAAGGUCCACCUGGAUGCUCAGCCAGACUUCGAGUCAGGCAGAAACCAGAACAGAGGAAGACUAUCACUGCAAAUUGCACCUUAUGAAAGAUGGGCUGCUGAAGGUCGAGUAUGAGUUAAGGAACAGGAGGGAACUUCAAAGGGUGAAGAGCCUGGACUUGCAAGUUGUUUUCCUCAGUGAGGAUGUUGCAUGAAAGAACUGGCAGACACUCCACUGCCAACCAGUUUUAAUCAUGAUACCUUUGAUUAAAUGGGCCCAAGCUUAUGCAGCAGAGAAUAAAGGGCAUAGUGCUACAGCUUUUAAGGAAAUGCCAUCAGAGGAGUUCCACCCACAGACUGGGAGUCUGGAGUCUGACUUACCACGUGAGCUGAGCUCACAUGAACCCCGAGCACAUCGCAGUUAGUGCUUUGCCCAUGAGACUACAACAAGCCAGGAGAGCUGUCAGGUGGUCACUUUGCAUCAUGAGCAAAUGGAAAACUACUGAGGCAGGGACAUCUUCUGUCCUUGACCUGUGUUUCCAGCUGUCUGUUACCAUUAAUAAUCCUUACUUGUUUGGGUUGGGACUGUGUUAUCCUUGGUGCAGUACAAAGAGUCAAGUGAUUUUUUUUUCCCCUUGAAAUGUGUUUGCUAUGACCUGUGGACAGUGACAGCAUCCUGGUCUCAGUUUUAUUUUCUUGAUAAAUCUACACAAGAGCCAGAGGUGCUGGAUUUCUGUCUGCAGAGCAUCACUGAAAUACUGAACUCUGGUGGGACCAGUUUUGACCAUAGGACAGAUCCCUAAAGUUAAGAGAACCCUCCUUAACCCAGAGAUCACAACUUUGUAGCCAUUCAACAGGGUUCCACAAUCAUACAUCAAAAACACUAAAAGUUUAAGAGGAAAUACUUCAAACUCACUAGAUACCCAUCAGUGUUAAGAUGAAUCUUCAAAUAGACAAGAAAAAGACAACGAGCAGUCCUUCAAUUUGGAAACAAUUUUUUUUUUCCCCUAGAAAACAGUGAGUUUUUAACCUCUCUCACCUUCUCUGUAUACCAAUUCUUCAAAAGGCUGAGCAGCCAUAACAGAGUUAUUUCCUUAUUUCCAUCUAUUAGCACUCAUUGAUCGGCUGUAUCACACACAGAUUGCCAGCUGUCUUUGGGCCUGUCUUGCUAUUCCAGUUCUGAACAACACUGAGCAUGACAGAUUCAGGGGCUUCAAAAACAAGGAUGAAUAAUGCCGGUACAGAACUCCACUAGCUUCUGAAGUGUAGCUCCUGGAAGUGUGGCCAAAAAUCCAAAUUUGUAUUGUUUUACCUCCGUUUUCCUCAUUCACAGGGGCAGUUGAGUGAGAUCUCUCCCUCCAGAGUUGUGGCAGUACUGAGCCAGUUGUCCUCUCAGUAAUGCUCCUGAGAAAAAUGGACACAAAGUGAGCCUCUUGCAGUGUCACUUCUCAUGGGCAGAAUAAAAAACUGCCAACAGAUUCCUAAAUGUACAAUUGCUUAGGAAAGAGAUGUAAGAAACAGCUCCAUGCAAAAGUCUGCCAACUUAUUUUUGCAGACUACGUAUUGUACAUGUGCAUAUUAAAUAUCAUGAUUCUCCUGAACAGCCUUAAGUACUUCCUGAAUAAUAUAAAAGAACAAACAAUGCUUUUAAAACAAUCUUAGUGCUGUGUCACCCCUUUUUCCUCUUAGUAUACAGUCAUUAUAAAGAUUAAAAAGUGACAAAGUAAAAAAUAUUUUAAAACCUGUAACAUAGAUGUCACUCAGUACUUUUUUAAAAUUGGUACUUAUAGCAUAAGAAAAUGGAGAACAACUUUUUCAAAUAAAUUAUAAAGGUGAUGAAACCUUUCUCUUCAUACAGGUUUUGGAUAGUUAAUGUUGGUAGUGCACCUUUUAGAUGCAAUUAUAGAGCACAUCUGUUUUUAUAGCAAAUAAAUGAUUGCUGUGUGCAAAUCUAA
This is a long non-coding RNA of Passer domesticus (house sparrow), 1937 nucleotides long. RefSeq lists it as uncharacterized. The record is from RefSeq and is a predicted model, not a curated record. NCBI's taxonomy places the organism in Eukaryota, Metazoa, Chordata, Aves, Passeriformes, Passeridae. The transcript is spliced from 2 exons.